Molecule: ribosomal RNA, 253 nt
Filed under: uncultured bacterium
Lineage: Bacteria
Description: partial 16S ribosomal RNA
Rfam family: Bacterial small subunit ribosomal RNA
Source: RNAcentral
UACGAAGGGGGCUAGCGUUGCUCGGAAUCACUGGGCGGAAAGCGCACGUAGGCGGAUUGCUAAGUCAGGGGUGAAAUCCUGGAGCUCAACUCCAGAACUGCCUUUGAUACUGGCGAUCUCGAGUCCGGGAGAGGUGAGUGGAACUGCGAGUGUAGAGGUGAAAUUCGUAGAUAUUCGCAAGAACACCAGUGGCGAAGGCGGCUCACUGGCCCGGUACUGACGCUGAGAUGCGAAAGCGUGGGGAGCAAACAGG